This 47-nucleotide non-coding RNA is filed under the name Trichobilharzia regenti. Lineage: Eukaryota; Metazoa; Platyhelminthes; Trematoda; Strigeidida; Schistosomatidae. The record is from RNAcentral.
AUCCAGUGACGAGUCCCAAAUAGGACGAAAUACGCCUUAUCCUGGAU